This 1102-nucleotide ribosomal RNA is filed under the name uncultured Nitrosospira sp. RNAcentral describes it as "bacterial SSU rRNA". It matches the Rfam family "Bacterial small subunit ribosomal RNA", at positions 137 to 1235 of the family's 1533-position model. Lineage: Bacteria; Pseudomonadati; Pseudomonadota; Betaproteobacteria; Nitrosomonadales; Nitrosomonadaceae. The record is from RNAcentral.
UGGGGAAUAACGCAUCGAAAGGUGUGCUAAUACCGCAUAAUCUCUACGGAGAAAAGCAGGGGAUCGCAUGACCUUGCGCUUUUGGAGCGGCCGAUGUCUGAUUAGCUAGUUGGUGAGGUAAAGGCUUACUAAGGCUUCGAUCAGUAGCUGGUCUGAGAGGACGACCAGCCACACUGGGACUGAGACACGGCCCAGACUCCUACGGGAGGCAGCAGUGGGGAAUUCUGGACAAUGGGGGAAACCCUGAUCCAGCCAUGCCGCGCGAGUGAAGAAGGCCUUCGGGUUGUAAAGCUCUUUCAGCCGGAACGAAACGGUCACGGUUAAUACCCGUGAUCACUGACGGUACCGGAAGAAGAAGCACCGGCUAACUACGUGCCAGCAGCCGCGGUAAUACGUAGGGUGCGAGCGUUAAUCGGAAUUACUGGGCGUAAAGCGUGCGCAGGCGGUUUUGUAAGUCAGAUGUGAAAUCCCCGGGCUCAACCUGGGAACUGCGUUUGAAACUACAAGGCUAGAGUGUAGCAGAGGGGGGUGGAAUUCCACGUGUAGCAGUGAAAUGCGUAGAGAUGUGGAGGAACACCGAUGGCGAAGGCAGCCCCCUGGGUUAACACUGACGCUCAGGCACGAAAGCGUGGGGAGCAAACAGGAUUAGAUACCCUGGUAGUCCACGCCCUAAACGAUGUCAACUAGUUGUCGGGUCUUAACGGGCUUGGUAACGCAGCUAACGCGUGAAGUUGACCGCCUGGGGAGUACGGUCGCAAGAUUAAAACUCAAAGGAAUUGACGGGGACCCGCACAAGCGGUGGAUUAUGUGGAUUAAUUCGAUGCAACGCGAAAAACCUUACCUACCCUUGACAUGUACCGAAGUCCGCUGAGAGGUGGAUGUGCCCGAAAGGGAACGGUAACACAGGUGCUGCAUGGCUGUCGUCAGCYCGUGUCGUGAGAUGUUGGGUUAAGUCCCGCAACGAGCGCAACCCUUGUCAUUAAUUGCCAUCAUUCAGUUGGGCACUUUAAUGAGACUGCCGGUGACAAACCGGAGGAAGGUGGGGAUGACGUCAUGUCCUCAUGGCCCUUAUGGGUAGGGCUUCACACGUAAUACAAUCGCG